RNAcentral lists this ribosomal RNA (1621 nucleotides) under Salmonella enterica subsp. enterica serovar Enteritidis. RNAcentral's name for it is "partial 23S ribosomal RNA". It matches the Rfam family "Bacterial large subunit ribosomal RNA", at positions 1292 to 2891 of the family's 2925-position model. Lineage: Bacteria; Pseudomonadati; Pseudomonadota; Gammaproteobacteria; Enterobacterales; Enterobacteriaceae. The record is from RNAcentral.
GAAUGCUGACAUAAGUAACGAUAAAGCGGGUGAAAAGCCCGCUCGCCGGAAGACCAAGGGUUCCUGUCCAACGUUAAUCGGGGCAGGGUGAGUCGACCCCUAAGGCGAGGCCGAAAGGCGUAGUCGAUGGGAAACGGGUUAAUAUUCCCGUACUUGGUGUUACUGCGAAGGGGGGACGGAGAAGGCUAUGUUGGCCGGGCGACGGUUGUCCCGGUUUAAGCGUGUAGGUGUGUGUUCCAGGUAAAUCCGGUUCACUUUAACACUGAGGCGUGACGACGAGGCACUACGGUGCUGAAGCAACAAAUGCCCUGCUUCCAGGAAAAGCCUCUAAGCAUCAGGUAACAUCAAAUCGUACCCCAAACCGACACAGGUGGUCAGGUAGAGAAUACCAAGGCGCUUGAGAGAACUCGGGUGAAGGAACUAGGCAAAAUGGUGCCGUAACUUCGGGAGAAGGCACGCUGACACGUAGGUGAAGUGAUUUACUCAUGGAGCUGAAGUCAGUCGAAGAUACCAGCUGGCUGCAACUGUUUAUUAAAAACACAGCACUGUGCAAACACGAAAGUGGACGUAUACGGUGUGACGCCUGCCCGGUGCCGGAAGGUUAAUUGAUGGGGUCAGCGCAAGCGAAGCUCCUGAUCGAAGCCCCGGUAAACGGCGGCCGUAACUAUAACGGUCCUAAGGUAGCGAAAUUCCUUGUCGGGUAAGUUCCGACCUGCACGAAUGGCGUAAUGAUGGCCAGGCUGUCUCCACCCGAGACUCAGUGAAAUUGAACUCGCUGUGAAGAUGCAGUGUACCCGCGGCAAGACGGAAAGACCCCGUGAACCUUUACUAUAGCUUGACACUGAACAUUGAGCCUUGAUGUGUAGGAUAGGUGGGAGGCUUUGAAGUGUGGACGCCAGUCUGCAUGGAGCCGACCUUGAAAUACCACCCUUUAAUGUUUGAUGUUCUAACGUGGACCCGUUACCCGGGUUGCGGACAGUGUCUGGUGGGUAGUUUGACUGGGGCGGUCUCCUCCUAAAGAGUAACGGAGGAGCACGAAGGUUGGCUAAUCCUGGUCGGACAUCAGGAGGUUAGUGCAAUGGCAUAAGCCAGCUUGACUGCGAGCGUGACGGCGCGAGCAGGUGCGAAAGCAGGUCAUAGUGAUCCGGUGGUUCUGAAUGGAAGGGCCAUCGCUCAACGGAUAAAAGGUACUCCGGGGAUAACAGGCUGAUACCGCCCAAGAGUUCAUAUCGACGGCGGUGUUUGGCACCUCGAUGUCGGCUCAUCACAUCCUGGGGCUGAAGUAGGUCCCAAGGGUAUGGCUGUUCGCCAUUUAAAGUGGUACGCGAGCUGGGUUUAGAACGUCGUGAGACAGUUCGGUCCCUAUCUGCCGUGGGCGCUGGAGAACUGAGGGGGGCUGCUCCUAGUACGAGAGGACCGGAGUGGACGCAUCACUGGUGUUCGGGUUGUCAUGCCAAUGGCACUGCCCGGUAGCUAAAUGCGGAAGAGAUAAGUGCUGAAAGCAUCUAAGCACGAAACUUGCCCCGAGAUGAGUUCUCCCUGAGACUUAAAGUCUCCUGAAGGAACGUUGAAGACGACGACGUUGAUAGGCCGGGUGUGUAAGCGCAGCGAUGCGUUGAGC